GACGAACGCUGGCGGCGUGCUUAACACAUGCAAGUCGAACGGAAAGGCCCUGCUUUUGUGGGGUGCUCGAGUGGCGAACGGGUGAGUAACACGUGAGUAACCUGCCCUUGACUUUGGGAUAACUUCAGGAAACUGGGGCUAAUACCGGAUAGGAGCUCCUGCUGCAUGGUGGGGGUUGGAAAGUUUCGGCGGUUGGGGAUGGACUCGCGGCUUAUCAGCUUGUUGGUGGGGUAGUGGCUUACCAAGGCUUUGACGGGUAGCCGGCCUGAGAGGGUGACCGGCGACAUUGGGACUGAGAGAGGGCGCAGACGGCUACGGGAGGCAGUAGUGGAGAAUAUUGCACAGUGGGCGGAAGCCUGAUGCGGCAGCGCCGCGUGCGGGAAGACGGCCUUCGGGUUGUGAACCGCUUUCGCCUGAGACGAAGCGUGAGUGACGGUAAUGGGUGAAGAAGCACCGGCUAACUACGUG
This 468-nucleotide ribosomal RNA is filed under the name uncultured bacterium. Its description in RNAcentral is "partial 16S ribosomal RNA". It matches the Rfam family "Bacterial small subunit ribosomal RNA", at positions 28 to 507 of the family's 1533-position model. The record is from RNAcentral.